Molecule: long non-coding RNA, 606 nt
Filed under: Equus caballus (horse)
Lineage: Eukaryota; Metazoa; Chordata; Mammalia; Perissodactyla; Equidae
Description: lncRNA (ENSECAG00000050232.1)
Source: RNAcentral
CUUAGCACAGUGCCUGCCCCAGAGAUGGUGCUCAAUAUGUAUGUGUUAAAUAGAUGUGGAAUGAAUACCUCAGUUGAGUGUGUUCUAUGUCCUGGGAACUAUCACAGAGAAGAGAGAUGAAAAUAGGAAUAAAACAUGCUCUCUGCCUCAAGAAACGUUGCAAACUCAAAUGCCUUACCAAGGCCAUGAGGAUGCUCUACAAGUGAAGCAGGCGGAGAAGUAAACCAGAGCAUGGUGAGCAGUGGGGUAAGUAAGAGAGUCCAUUCUACUUAGUUCCACCCAGUCGUAAUGUGGGACUGUUGGUCCAGUGCUUCCAGCUCUUGAAACGUUAAAUAGGCCAAACCAAACAGGUCUGUGGGCUGAUUCUCACCUGAAGGAUCCUAAGAUUGUGACUGUAGGUUUAACGAUCAAACGGAAGGCUGAUGGGAAGCGAGCAGAGAGAUGCCUAAUGAAGAUGGAAGGGACAGAUGGCACCCAGAAGAACCUGAGAGCAGCCAGUGUUAACUUGGGAAUGGAUGGAUGGGUGCUGUUUGAAAACAGCGGGAGAGGGAGCAGUAAAGAGCAAAGGUGAGUAAAAAAUUAGGUUGCUUGAAACCAGGUUAUUUG